Molecule: transfer RNA, 63 nt
Filed under: Bramus lutescens (Transcaucasian mole vole)
Lineage: Eukaryota; Metazoa; Chordata; Mammalia; Rodentia; Cricetidae
Description: tRNA-Lys
Source: RNAcentral
CAUUGCGAAGCUCAGAGCGUUAACCUUUUAAGUUAAAGUUAGAGAUCCAGAUCUCCGUGAUGA